UACGAAGGGUGCAAGCGUUACUCGGAAUUACUGGGCGUAAAGCGUGCGUAGGCGGUUUGUUAAGUCUGUCGUGAAAGCCCCGGGCUCAACCUGGGAAUGGCGAUGGAAACUGGCGUGCUAGAGUACGGUAGAGGAGAGUGGAAUUCCCGGUGUAGCAGUGAAAUGCGUAGAGAUCGGGAGGAACAUCAGUUGCGAAGGCGGCUCUCUGGACCAGUACUGACGCUGAGGCACGAAAGCGUGGGGAGCAAACAGG
RNAcentral lists this ribosomal RNA (253 nucleotides) under uncultured bacterium. RNAcentral's name for it is "partial 16S ribosomal RNA". It matches the Rfam family "Bacterial small subunit ribosomal RNA", at positions 524 to 776 of the family's 1533-position model. The record is from RNAcentral.